RNAcentral lists this ribosomal RNA (253 nucleotides) under uncultured bacterium. RNAcentral describes it as "partial 16S ribosomal RNA". It matches the Rfam family "Bacterial small subunit ribosomal RNA", at positions 524 to 776 of the family's 1533-position model. The record is from RNAcentral.
GACGAGGGAUCCUAGCGUUGUUCGGAAUCAUUGGGCGUAAAGCGGAUGUAGGUGGCUUUGUAAGUCAGGUGUGAAAGCCCUGGGCUCAACCCAGGAAGUGCAUUUGAUACUGCGAAGCUUGAGUGCCGGAGAGGUUACUAGAAUACCUGGUGUAGUGGUGAAAUGCGUAGAGAUCGGGCAGAACACCCGUGGCGAAGGCGGCCGGCUGGGCCGAUCCUGACGCUGAGGCGCGAAGGCGUGGGGAGCGAACGGG